UACGGAGGGGGCAAGCGUUAUUCGGAAUCAUUGGGCGUAAAGGGCGCGUAGGCGGCCUGGCAAGUCAAAGGUGAAAUCCCUCGGCCCAACCGAGGAACCGCCUUUGAAACUGCAAGGCUUGAGGCCGGGAGAGGGUAGCGGAAUUCCCAGUGUAGCGGUGAAAUGCGUAGAUAUUGGGAGGAACACCAAUGGCGAAGGCAGCCCCCUGGGUCGAUACUGACGCUCAUGCACGAAAGCGUGGGUAGCAAACAGG
RNAcentral lists this ribosomal RNA (253 nucleotides) under uncultured prokaryote. RNAcentral's name for it is "partial 16S ribosomal RNA". It matches the Rfam family "Bacterial small subunit ribosomal RNA", at positions 524 to 776 of the family's 1533-position model. The record is from RNAcentral.